AAACCGCCCAAUGUCUCAGUCAACUUCCUGCUGCCUGCAAGAUGUAAGACUCUCAGCUACUACUCCAGCACCACCACAUCUGCCUGAGGCUUCCUGUCAUGAUAAUAAUGGCCUGAACCUCUGAAACUUUCCUAAUGCCUAGAAUACAUAUGCAAUGGCAGAAACUCCAGCAGUCAUCUUGAGCUGACCUGGGUGAAAACACAAAGCCACAUGGCAGAGCAGUGAGAGGAAGAGCCUGGAACCACACUUAGAGCCACCUUUGUCCAAACUACCUGGAAUAGCAGGCAGCCCGUCUUCUUCUCACUGUGCUGUGCCCACCCCUGACGCCCCGAGCAAGGAAAAGGAGCGAAGCCAGAUGGGAUAGAAUUGUGACCUUGAUGAAAAGCCAAUGAGAGGAAGAAAGCCCUGUUCACGAAGCUCUGGCAAAAUCCCCUCAGAGGAGCAGAUGGUUUUGUCUCCGUGACAACGAGAAGGGCCAGAAUUUGAAGGUGCUGAUGGAUCCCUCUCACAUGAGGGUGCCCAGCACGACAUCCAGACACCACCUGAGGCUGGAAUUACGGGGGAGGGGGGGGCUGACAAAUGACAGCUGCGGCCUGUUCCGACUAGAUGAUGACGGCGGGAACCCGUGGUUCGCUUCGGGGAAAGCCUCAGUGUGAUACGGUGGGAGCAGAUGGGAAGCUUUCCAGCGCCCAAGGUAGAUGUCUUGGGAGUGUCUAGCAGGUCAGGAGGCCCUACUCCCCUUGAUCUCUCUAGGGUCACAUUCCUAGGACACCAAACAUGUCUACCUAACAUAUCAUCUUCAGUCAUCCAAGCACAGAAAAGGGCAUUAUGCUCGCUGACAGGGCGUAUGUUACAUCUCACACUUGACUUUCAAGACCUUGAAUGAAUUUUGCUGAAAUAAAUGUUCACCUCUGGGUUUAGUCCAA
Molecule: long non-coding RNA, 926 nt
Filed under: Cricetulus griseus (Chinese hamster)
Lineage: Eukaryota; Metazoa; Chordata; Mammalia; Rodentia; Cricetidae
Description: lncRNA (ENSCGRG00015035734.1)
Source: RNAcentral